Molecule: ribosomal RNA, 607 nt
Rfam family: Bacterial small subunit ribosomal RNA
AGGGGGGCCCUAACCCAUGCAAGUCGAGCGGUAACAGGGGUAGCUUGCUACCCGCUGACGAGCGGCGGACGGGUGAGUAAUGCAUAGGAAUCUGCCCGAUAGUGGGGGAUAACCUGGGGAAACCCAGGCUAAUACCGCAUACGUCCUACGGGAGAAAGGGGGCUCCGGCUCCCGCUAUUGGAUGAGCCUAUGUCGGAUUAGCUAGUUGGUGAGGUAAAGGCUCACCAAGGCGACGAUCCGUAGCUGGUCUGAGAGGAUGAUCAGCCACAUCGGGACUGAGACACGGCCCGAACUCCUACGGGAGGCAGCAGUGGGGAAUAUUGGACAAUGGGCGAAAGCCUGAUCCAGCCAUGCCGCGUGUGUGAAGAAGGCCCUCGGGUUGUAAAGCACUUUCAGCGAGGAAGAACGCCUAGUGGUUAAUACCCAUUAGGAAAGACAUCACUCGCAGAAGAAGCACCGGCUAACUCCGUGCCAGCAGCCGCGGUAAUACGGAGGGUGCAAGCGUUAAUCGGAAUUACUGGGCGUAAAGCGCGCGUAGGUGGCUUGAUAAGCCGGUUGUGAAAGCCCCGGGCUCAACCUGGGAACGGCAUCCGGAACUGUCAAGCUA